CAAACUAAAGACAAGAGAGGUCCCUCUCUCCUUUCUAAAUGGCAUCUAAACGAUUACAAGAAUCUAAGGUCGCACAAAAAACGGAAAAAAAAUCCGCUAAGCAAGAAAAGAGACUCCCCACCUUUUUCUCCCCCCAAAAGACGCAAGAUCCUAUCGAUGAGUCAUUGUUAGACUCCUCAUUCCUCAACAGCAAUGGCACCCCCUCCAGUGGAAUCAACUGGUAUUACAAUAGACGUAAUAAAAACCCUCUUUGAUGAUACUUUGAAAGAAAUAAAAAAAGAGAUUCAAGAAAACUCUAUUGACCUCAAAAAUGAUAUCUCCAGGUACAACCCGAAAUUAAAC
Molecule: non-coding RNA, 342 nt
Organism: Pelobates cultripes (western spadefoot toad)
Lineage: Eukaryota; Metazoa; Chordata; Amphibia; Anura; Pelobatidae
Source: the annotation of a GenBank genome assembly